AAGAACUCUCCACCUUUUCGAGUUCACAAUUUGCCUCAAACCCUAGAAAUGGUGACUGAAUCGGGUCAUUCAAAGAGACCCAUGUGCCCAUCAUGCUCCAAACCGACCCGCCUCUGUCUCUGCACUCGACUGAAGAUUCCAUGUCUCCAAAACUCCGUGGCUGUCACAAUCCUUCACACCCGCCUCUGUCUGUGCACUCGACUGAAGAUUCCAUGUCUCCAAAACUCCGUGGCUGUCACAAUCCUUCAGCACAGCCUAGAGAAAAAACACCCUCUCAAUUCAACAAGAAUUGCUUCUAUAGGCCUGCAAAAUUUGAGUGUAAUUUCAGUCUCUGAUGUUAAUUAUGAGGCUCAGUUUCUCAUACGUUUUCUCAACUCAAACCUUGAAAUUGGUUCUCAUAUUUUGGAUGAAAAGACUCCACCUUUGACGUUUCUCAUACGUUUGCUCAACUCAAACCUUGAAAUUGGUUCUCAUAUUUUGGAUGAAAAGACUCCACUUUUGAUUAAAGACUCCAACUUUGAUAGUAAUGCUGAUGUUUCUUUUACUAUAGAGAAGUACGGUG
RNAcentral lists this long non-coding RNA (562 nucleotides) under Nicotiana benthamiana. RNAcentral describes it as "long non-coding RNA (NBEN_LNC039065)". The record is from RNAcentral. Lineage: Eukaryota; Viridiplantae; Streptophyta; Magnoliopsida; Solanales; Solanaceae.